GAUCAUGGCUCGGGACGAACGCUGGCGGCGCGCCUAACACAUGCAAGUCGAACGGAGUUAUUUUGGCAGAAGCCUUCGGGCGGACGCUGAUAUAACUUAGUGGCGAACGGGUGAGUAACACGUGAGCAACCUGCCCUUCAGAGGGGGACAACAGUUGGAAACGACUGCUAAUACCGCAUAAGACCACGGUGUGGCAUCACACAGAGGUCAAAGGAGAAAUCCGCUGAAGGAUGGGCUCGCG
RNAcentral lists this ribosomal RNA (241 nucleotides) under uncultured bacterium. Its description in RNAcentral is "partial 16S ribosomal RNA". It matches the Rfam family "Bacterial small subunit ribosomal RNA", at positions 15 to 235 of the family's 1533-position model. The record is from RNAcentral.